This 802-nucleotide ribosomal RNA is filed under the name uncultured bacterium. Its description in RNAcentral is "bacterial SSU rRNA". It matches the Rfam family "Bacterial small subunit ribosomal RNA", at positions 8 to 796 of the family's 1533-position model. The record is from RNAcentral.
AGAGUUUGAUCAUGGCUCAGGAUGAACGCUAGCGAUAGGCUUAACACAUGCAAGUCGAGGGGUAACAUUAGGGUAGCUUGCUACCCUUGAUGACGACCGGCGGAUGGGUGCGUAACGCGUAUGCAACUUACCUUUUAGCGGGGGAUAACCCGGAGAAAUCCGGACUAAUACCGCAUAUACAUGGGAUGUCGCAUGAUUUUCCAUGGAAAGAUUUUAUCACUAAGAGAUAGGCAUGCGUUCCAUUAGGUAGUUGGUGAGGUAACGGCUCACCAAGCCCACGAUGGAUAGGGGCGCUGAGAGGCGUAUCCCCCACACUGGGACUGAGACACGGCCCAGACUCCUACGGGAGGCAGCAGUGAGGAAUCAUGGUCAAUGGAGGCAACUCUGAACCUGCCAAGUCGCGUGAAGGAAGACUGCCCUAAGGGUUGUAAACUUCUUUAGUAGGUGAGUAGAGACAGGCACGUGUGCUUGUUUUGGAAAGUAACCUAAGAAUAAGUAUCGGCUAACUCCGUGCCAGCAGCCGCGGUAAUACGGGGGAUACGAGCGUUAUCCGGAAUUAUUGGGUUUAAAGGGUGCGUAGGUUGUUGAUUAAGUCGGCGGUGAAAAGCUGGGGCUCAACUCUAGUCUUGCCGUUGAUACUGUUCAGCUAGAGAGUAGACGAUGUAGGCGGAAUACGUAGUGUAGCGGUGAAAUGCAUAGAUAUUACGUGGAACUCCAAUCGCGUAGGCAGCUUACAAGACUAUAUCUGACACUGAAGCACGAAAGCGUGGGGAUCAAACAGGAUUAGAUACCCUGGUAGUCC